Molecule: transfer RNA, 84 nt
Filed under: Candidatus Bathyarchaeota archaeon
Lineage: Archaea; Thermoproteati; Candidatus Bathyarchaeota
Description: tRNA-Gly
Rfam family: tRNA
About the family: Transfer RNA (tRNA) molecules are approximately 80 nucleotides in length. Their secondary structure includes four short double-helical elements and three loops (D, anti-codon, and T loops).
Source: RNAcentral
GCCGGGGUGGCAGAGUGGUUAAUGCGCUGGCCUUCCUAGCCAGUGGGCCUCCGGCCCGCAGGGGUUCAAAUCCCCUCCCCGGCG